This 95-nucleotide non-coding RNA is filed under the name Burkholderia sp. RNAcentral's name for it is "Glycine sequence". It matches the Rfam family "Glycine riboswitch aptamer". From Rfam's summary of the family: This family represents the bacterial glycine riboswitch. Glycine riboswitches usually consist of two metabolite-binding aptamers domains with similar structures in tandem. Lineage: Bacteria; Pseudomonadati; Pseudomonadota; Betaproteobacteria; Burkholderiales; Burkholderiaceae. The record is from RNAcentral.
CAAUGCAGCGCGGGAGAGAUCGUCAUGAAGUCAGUGACGACGCCGACGGAGCAACCGCCCCGGAAACUCUCAGGCAAAAGGACCGCGCAGCUGGA